CCUACGGGAGGCAGCAGUGGGGAAUUUUGGACAAUGGGGGCAACCCUGAUCCAGCCAUGCCGCGUGUCUGAAGAAGGCCUUCGGGUUGUAAAGGACUUUUGUCAGGGAGCAAAACCUGCCUGUAAAUAAUGGGUGGGGUUGAGAGUACCUGAAGAAUAAGCACCGGCUAACUACGUGCCAGCAGCCGCGGUAAUACGUAGGGUGCGAGCGUUAAUCGGAAUAACUGGGCGUAAAGCGUGCGCAGGCGGUUGGGCAAGUCUGAUGUGAAAGCCCCGGGCUCAACCUGGGAACGGCAUUGGAGACUGCUCGGCUAGAGUGCGUCAGAGGGGGGUAGAAUUCCACGUGUAGCAGUGAAAUGCGUAGAGAUGUGGAGGAAUACCGAUGGCGAAGGCAGCCCCCUGGGAUGACACUGACGCUCAUGCACGAAAGCGUGGGGAGCAAACAGGAUUAGAUACCCUGGUAGUCCACGCCCUAAACGAUGUCAAUUAGCUGUUGGGGUUUGAAUCCUUGGUAGCGAAGCAACGCGAGAAAUUGACCGCCUGGGGAGUACGGCCGCAAGGUUAAACUUAAUGAAUUGACGGCUGAGACGNGCGAGACGACGACGAGGGAGGAGG
This 614-nucleotide ribosomal RNA is filed under the name uncultured bacterium. RNAcentral's name for it is "bacterial SSU rRNA". It matches the Rfam family "Bacterial small subunit ribosomal RNA", at positions 338 to 948 of the family's 1533-position model. The record is from RNAcentral.